GAUGAACGCUGGCGGCGUGCCUAAUACAUGCAAGUCGAGCGAACGGACGAGAAGCUUGCUUCUCUGAUGUUAGCGGCGGACGGGUGAGUAACACGUGGAUAACCUACCUAUAAGACUGGGAUAACUUCGGGAAACCGGAGCUAAUACCGGAUGAUAUUUUGAACCGCAUGGUUCAAAAGUGAAAGACGGUCUUGCUGUCACUUAUAGAUGGAUCCGCGCUGCAUUAGCUAGUUGGUAAGGUAACGGCUUACCAAGGCAACGAUGCAUAGCCGACCUGAGAGGGUGAUCGGCCACACUGGAACUGAGACACGGUCCAGACUCCUGCGGGAGGCAGCAGUAGGGAAUCUUCCGCAAUGGGCGAAAGCCUGACGGAGCAACGCCGCGUGAGUGAUGAAGGUCUUCGGAUCGUAAAACUCUGUUAUUAGGGAAGAACAUAUGUGUAAGUAACUGUGCACAUCUUGACGGUACCUAAUCAGAAAGCCACGGCUAACUACGUG
RNAcentral lists this ribosomal RNA (497 nucleotides) under uncultured bacterium. RNAcentral describes it as "partial 16S ribosomal RNA". It matches the Rfam family "Bacterial small subunit ribosomal RNA", at positions 28 to 507 of the family's 1533-position model. The record is from RNAcentral.